GAGGCAGCAGUAGGGAAUCUUCCGCAAUGGGCGAAAGCCUGACGGAGCAACGCCGCGUGAGUGAUGAAGGUUUUCGGACCGUAAAGCUCUGUUGCCAAGGAAGAACGUCUUCUAGAGUAACUGCUAGGAGAGUGACGGUACUUGAGAAGAAAGCCCCGGCUAACUACGUGCCAGCAGCCGCGGUAAUACGUAGGGGGCAAGCGUUGUCCGGAAUUAUUGGGCGUAAAGCGCGCGCAGGCGGUUCUUUAAGUCUGGUGUUUAAACCCGAGGCUCAACUUCGGGUCGCACUGGAAACUGGGGGACUUGAGUGCAGAAGAGGAGAGUGGAAUUCCACGUGUAGCGGUGAAAUGCGUAGAUAUGUGGAGGAACACCAGUGGCGAAG
This 382-nucleotide ribosomal RNA is filed under the name uncultured Paenibacillus sp. RNAcentral's name for it is "bacterial SSU rRNA". It matches the Rfam family "Bacterial small subunit ribosomal RNA", at positions 345 to 720 of the family's 1533-position model. The record is from RNAcentral. Lineage: Bacteria; Bacillati; Bacillota; Bacilli; Caryophanales; Paenibacillaceae.